ACUCCUACGGGAGGSAGCAGUGGGGAAUUUUGGACAAUGGGGGCAACCCUGAUCCAGCCAUGCCGCGUGAGUGAAGAAGGCCUUCGGGUUGUAAAGCUCUUUCGGACGGAACGAAAUGGUUAGCGUGAAUAUCGCUGACUGAUGACGGUACCGUAAGAAGAAGCACCGGCUAACUACGUGCCAGCAGCCGCGGUAAUACGUAGGGUGCGAGCGUUAAUCGGAAUUACUGGGCGUAAAGCGUGCGCAGGCGGUUCGCCAAGUCAGGUGUGAAAUCCCCGGGCUUAACCUGGGAAUUGCGCUUGAAACUAGCGGGCUUGAGUGUGGCAGAGGGGGGUGGAAUUCCACGUGUAGCAGUGAAAUGCGUAGAGAUGUGGAGGAACACCGAUGGCGAAGGCAGCCCCCUGGGUCAACACUGACGCUCAUGCACGAAAGCGUGGGGAGCAAACAGGAUUAGAUACCCUGGUAGUCCACGCCCUAAACGAUGUCGACUAGGUGUUGGGGAAGGAGACUUCCUUAGUACCGCAGCUAACGCGUGAAGUCGACCGCCUGGGGAGUACGGUCGCAAGAUUAAAACUCAAAUGAAUUGACGG
This 590-nucleotide ribosomal RNA is filed under the name uncultured Rhodocyclaceae bacterium. RNAcentral's name for it is "bacterial SSU rRNA". It matches the Rfam family "Bacterial small subunit ribosomal RNA", at positions 335 to 916 of the family's 1533-position model. Lineage: Bacteria; Pseudomonadati; Pseudomonadota; Betaproteobacteria; Rhodocyclales; Rhodocyclaceae. The record is from RNAcentral.